GUUCAUCGUCCCUUUCCCUCUAAUCGUACAUGUUGGAUCCUGAUCAUCUUCAAAGCACUAAAAUGACUAACACCACUCCUUGAUUACUUUUUGUAGGUGUCAUUACCAGAAAGGAGCUCGGUACCGUGAUGCGUUCUCUCGGUCAAAACCUGACCCAAGCUGAGCUUCAGGACGCGAUGAACGAAGUGGAUAUAGAUGGUGACGGAACCAUCGAUUUCCCUGAGUUUGUGUGUGUAAUGGCUGGGAAUCUAAGUCAUGAUCAAGUGCCGCCGCGUCAAACUAAAAAAACAAUGGUGGAUUAUCAGCUCACUGACGAUCAGAUCUCAGAAUUCAAGGAAGCCUUCCGCGUAUUCGACAAGAAUGGUGAUGGUAUGUGUUCAUCGUCCCUUUCCCUGGCUCUAAUCAUACAUAUUUUGAUUCUGAUCAUCUUCAAAGCACUGAAAUGACUAACACAAGUCCUUGAUUACUUUUUGUAGGUUACAUUACCGUAAAUGAGCUCCGUAUUACUAUGAGCUCCCUCGGUGAAAACCAAACAAAAGCUGAGCUUCAGGACAUGAUCAACGAAGCUGAUGCAGAUGGUGAUGGAACCAUCAGUUUCCCUGAGUUUGUGUGUGUAAUGGCUGGGAAAAUGACUGACUCUGAGGAAGAAGCGUACAGAGUUGUGAAUCAAGGUCAGGGUCAAGUGCCGCGUCACACUAAAAAUGACAGAACUGGUGGCGCUAAUUGGGAGAGGGACAUAGCGGUCGGGGUUGCCAGCAAUAUCAUCGCUUCGCCAAUUACCGACUUCAUCAAAGAUUUGUUUAAAGAGUUGUUUUUUUGAAUUAAUGGCACGUUAGGUAAGUAACUUUAUGCCAUUAGGGUCUGGCAAGUCUGUUACAUCUCCCUCAAAAUUAUUGAAAGAAUAAGAAAAAGUGUUUAAUCUGUGAAAAUAAUUUCUCAGUAUGUAAUAAAUUUACUGUGUUAGUGUGUUACCAUCUUCAAUUGUACGCAAUAUAUUAAAUAAUUUACAACCAAACUUUGUAAUAUGGUUUCAGUAUCGACUAUAAUUGGGGUAUCAAUAUAAUGUAUUUUUGAGGAAAAUAUUGAACAACCAAUUAUUGAAAACUAGUAGACAGAUCGGUUAAUGAUUUGGCACAUACAGUGAGCAAAUCAGCUAAGCCUCAUAUCUCACCGUCCCAGAGUUCUUCAAGACUCUUAUAAGGACUCAUCUCAUGAACAAAUGACAUGCAUCGCGGCUCGCGCCAACCUACCCUGCAACAUUGAAACACACAUCUUCAAUAUUCGAUAACCCAAGUGUUUGAUCAAAACAAAGAACGUUUUGCUUUGUGAUUUGUUAAUUAAGUUGGUUAAGACGUCAUUGGGUAUGGACCAAUUGAAAACAUCGAAAUUCUGCUUGAUCCUAUCUUGAUGGGUGCUUUUGGACGAACACUUUGACCCAUUUGGAGACACCCGCAAAGUGAAACUUGUGCAGUAUUCUUGCCGAGCUUCUCAGCAACAUCGCCAGGAAUAGUGUUCUUCAGAACAUGGCUUUUUUGAGCCACGUUGUCCCAGGAGAACCCAACGUACCUGUGCAUGUGCAUCCCUCAAAUCAGUUCCUGGUACACUUACCUUCAGCAAGUAAAAUGCAUUUUUUUCGUUUAAUAAUAGGUCAAUGAACCAAACCAUGCUAAUCAAUUGUCAUAAGCAUGUAUUCUUCCUUGAAUCAUUUGAUCCUAUGCAAGUUUUUACUUUGUGAUUUGUUAAGUUAUUGCAGAAAACAAGGACGUUCGAGGCACUUCCCAAAACAUAUGAAUGUUAUAAACUAUGUAGUAUUGAAAAGUAAGCAAUUGAGAGCAAAAUCUUUAAUAAUUUAGACAAAUGUAGGGGCAGCUCCACUUGCCCAUCCAAAUGAAUACUUCACAAUUGAUAAAGAAAAAAAAAAAAAAAUUGCACAAUUGAUAAUUCUAUUCCAUUAUUGUAAAUAAAUGUUUCUUUCAAAUUUAAAUGGAAAUACUAAAAAAAAAGACAGCAUUUAGUAAUAACGAAUUGGAAGUUUGGAACAAUCAACCAACUAACCAAAGGGAAAUCACUGGAAAGGAAAAGCUGAGAUGGCAAGUCAACGAUCCGCGUAGAAACCGCGUGAACGUGUGAUCCAUCUCUUCUCUUGUCAACCUGGCGCUUAAAUUUAAAACUCAAAUUAAUGGCAUUCUCGUAAUACCAUCCCCAAACCAAGGUCCUUCUCGACAUUUCAAUGUAAUUCCGGUAAAUAAAACGCCUCAAGUCCGCGUUCGUAGCACAAAUUGUCUCCCAGACUCUUCGUUUUUCCCUUUUUUCUCCAAUCACCGAAAAAAAAAACAAAAAGCAAUGGCGGAUCAGCUCACUGACGAUCAGAUCUCAGAAUUCAAGGAAGCCUUCAGCUUAUUCGACAAGGAUGGUGAUGGUAUGCUUCAGCAUCCCUCUCCCUCUAAUCGUAGAUCUUCGCCGGAUAAUUCUGAUUUAGUUUCUGCUUUGAUUUGGUUUCCUUUUGAUCUGUAUCGAUUACUGUGGUGACGGAUCCAUUUUUCGUAUCCUCGCAUUGAUUCUUUUCGUUUUUCGGUAUUCAAAUCAAAAUUGAAUUUAAGGAUUUGAUUUUGCCUUUGUUCUAAUUUAAGAUCUAUGUAAAUCGUCGUUAUUUAUUAUCAGCGAUGAAAUAUUUGUUAGGUUUGAGAGUCUGAAUCAGCCCUAUGGUAUUUGACCAGUUUUGAUUGAAUUGUUCUAAUUCUAGAUUUGCAUAAUAGUAACACCAAUCCUUGAUUACUUUUUGCAGGUUGCAUCACCACAAAGGAGCUCGGUACCGUGAUGCGUUCCCUCGGUCAAAACCCGACCGAAGCUGAGCUUCAGGACAUGAUCAACGAAGUGGAUGCAGAUGGUAAUGGUACCAUUGAUUUCCCUGAGUUCUUGAACCUAAUGGCUAGGAA
This 2936-nucleotide long non-coding RNA is filed under the name Arabidopsis lyrata. Its description in RNAcentral is "long non-coding RNA (ALYR_LNC002161)". The record is from RNAcentral. Lineage: Eukaryota; Viridiplantae; Streptophyta; Magnoliopsida; Brassicales; Brassicaceae.